This 56-nucleotide ribosomal RNA is filed under the name uncultured bacterium. RNAcentral describes it as "partial 16S ribosomal RNA". The record is from RNAcentral.
GGCGUUGCGCUAACUCGCAAGAGAGGCAGGCGACCACGGUGGUUAGCGACUGGGUG